UACGGAGGGGCUGAGCGUUGUUCGGUGAAUUACUGGGCGUAAAGCGCACGUAGGCGGCUUUGUAAGUUAGAGGUGAAAGCCCAGGGCUCAACCCUGGAAUUGCCUUUAAGACUGCAUCGCUUGAACAUCGGAGAGGUAAGUGGAAUUCCGAGUGUAGAGGUGAAAUUCGUAGAUAUUCGGAAGAACACCAGUGGCGAAGGCGACUUACUGGACGAUUGUUGACGCUGAGGUGCGAAAGCGUGGGGAGCAAACAGG
This 255-nucleotide ribosomal RNA is filed under the name uncultured bacterium. RNAcentral describes it as "partial 16S ribosomal RNA". It matches the Rfam family "Bacterial small subunit ribosomal RNA", at positions 524 to 776 of the family's 1533-position model. The record is from RNAcentral.